RNAcentral lists this unclassified non-coding RNA (255 nucleotides) under uncultured fungus. RNAcentral's name for it is "partial contains 5.8S ribosomal RNA, internal transcribed spacer 2, and large subunit ribosomal RNA". The record is from RNAcentral. Lineage: Eukaryota; Fungi.
AACGCACAUUGCGCCCGCCGGUUAAUCCGGCGGGCAUGCCUGUCCGAGCGUCAUUUCAACCCUCAAGCCCCCUCGGGGGAUUGGUGCUGGGGAUCGGCCGUCACGGGCCGGCCCCGAAAUCGAGUGGCGGUCUCGCCGUCGCCUCCUCUGCGUAGUAGAAACACCUCGCACUGGGACGCGGCGCGGCCAUGCCGUUAAACCCCCGACUUCUGAAAGGUUGACCUCGGAUCAGGUAGGAAUACCCGCUGAACUUAA